This 331-nucleotide unclassified non-coding RNA is filed under the name Nitrosovibrio sp. Nv17. RNAcentral's name for it is "Long range pseudoknot". Lineage: Bacteria; Pseudomonadati; Pseudomonadota; Betaproteobacteria; Nitrosomonadales; Nitrosomonadaceae. The record is from RNAcentral.
ACCGACGAUGGUGACUACAACAUCAAGUUGCGCAAUCUGAUCGGUUUUCUGCAGGAGGGCGACAAGGCCAAGAUCACCUUGCGUUUUCGCGGUCGCGAAAUGGCGCAUCAGGAAUUUGGUGUGCGCUUGCUGGAGCGGAUCAAGGCCGAUCUGGAGAUGCAUGCGGUGGUGGAGCAGUUUCCGCGGAUGGAGGGUCGGCAGAUGGUCAUGGUGCUGUCUCCGCGCAAGCGGGAGGUGAAGGUCAUCAAGCCGAAGGCUCCCGAGGAUUCUAGCGGUGCCGGCCAGUUGGGAGGGAGCAGGCAGGAGACGGCGUCCCGGAUCGAGGAUGCCA